This 339-nucleotide ribosomal RNA is filed under the name uncultured Clostridium sp. RNAcentral describes it as "bacterial SSU rRNA". It matches the Rfam family "Bacterial small subunit ribosomal RNA", at positions 355 to 709 of the family's 1533-position model. Lineage: Bacteria; Bacillati; Bacillota; Clostridia; Eubacteriales; Clostridiaceae. The record is from RNAcentral.
UGAGGGAUAUUGGGUCAAUGGGGGGAAACCCUGAACCAGCAACGCCGCGUGAGGGAUGACGGUCUUCGGAUUGUAAACCUCUGUCCCCUGUGAAGAUAAUGACGGUAGCAGAGGAGGAAGCUCCGGCUAACUACGUGCCAGCAGCCGCGGUAAUACGUAGGGAGCAAGCGUUGUCCGGAUUUACUGGGUGUAAAGGGUGCGUAGGCGGCUCGGCAAGUCAGAGGUGAAAUCCAUGGGCUUAACCCAUGAACUGCCUUUGAAACUGCCGAACUUGAGUGAAGUAGAGGUAGGCGGAAUUCCCGGUGUAGCGGUGAAAUGCGUAGAGAUCGGGAGGAACAC